AGAAACUGUUGUGGUUGUCAACUGGGUUGUCUUCCUGAAGUAUGAAUCUGGUAUGUAUUGGGUGGAGGAGCAUUAUGUAUUGAACUUCUGAUGAAACAGGGCUGAAGCAGUGCCUACUCGACAGAACCAGUCAUCGUACAAAGAAAUGCCACCUGACUCAAAGGCAAAGCCAGAGUGCAGCUUGGAGCAAAGAAGGUA
This is a long non-coding RNA of Pongo pygmaeus (Bornean orangutan), 198 nucleotides long. RefSeq lists it as uncharacterized. The transcript is spliced from 3 exons. NCBI's taxonomy places the organism in Eukaryota, Metazoa, Chordata, Mammalia, Primates, Hominidae. The record is from RefSeq and is a predicted model, not a curated record.